This is a long non-coding RNA of Amaranthus tricolor (Joseph's coat), 1418 nucleotides long. RefSeq lists it as uncharacterized. Lineage: Eukaryota; Viridiplantae; Streptophyta; Magnoliopsida; Caryophyllales; Amaranthaceae. The record is from RefSeq and is a predicted model, not a curated record. The transcript has 3 exons.
UCUUCAUCCUCAUCAUCUUUUACCUUCAAACUCUCAAUCCCUCUCUUCCCUCUUCUCUCAUGUCCCACUCCCCUCAACUACAGCGGCGGCACAACCAAGCCCAGCCACGAGUUCCACCACUAACAGCAAUCACUUCUCCUCCUCCCUUUAUUGUUGGAGGCGACGUCAUCAAGGAACCAUUCUAGCUGUUAGCCGCGAAUCGAUCGCGGCUCUUUGAAGCGUCUUGUUGCUUGUCUACAGAUCGGAACCAGUCGGGAAUAAUGGAUUAGCGGAGGUGAUUAGAGUUUCCAAGGAUGUUAAUUGAGCUGAGUACUAAGGAAUUAUAAAUUUGUAUCAGGAAUUUUGGAUAAAUGUAAAUUUGUUUUGGCUGUGCUUGUUAUAUCGGACUUGUAGAGAAUUGUUUGAUUAUCUUGUGUAAUAGUUAGAUGAUGGCUUUGGGAUUUAGCUGAGUUAGUCACGUUGAAGAGCUUGUGACCCCUUUGCUUGAGUUUUGGAAGUGUGAUUUCAGUUUCCUUGGGAAACGAACCUAGUGAUGACCCUGUUUACCCAGUCAACGGUAAGUCGGGUUGUUACACAACAAUUGAAAGUACUCUUUGUCAUCGGCGUUUGCGUGUCGUACUCCUUCGUUGGUGUCAUCUCCUACCUCUGUGUACUUCAAAGUACUCCAGAAUGGAUGAAUGUCAUCCACAUACAAAGCACCUUGUGAACCGAUCGACAUAUAUAAAUAAGAAGCACACGGCAAUCCAUGGGUGUGUUGAAGUACACAACCGCAUUUGUUAAGUACAUAAUUACCCAAAUCAAACAUACGGUUAUGCUCAAGCCGCAUCUGCUCCAAGGCAAAAAAAUAUACUUGGCGAUAUAAAGUUCUAAAGAAAUGAUGUCGCAACGACCUUGAAACAGAAUUCAUGGAUUCCUGUAGCGCUUGUCGGACCUUAGCUUGCUGGUUUGUUAUCUGUGCGUGUGCCCUUUUAAACAGGGUAUCAAAUGAGCUAUUACUGCUGCCAAGAUAAUACUUGAAAGACGAGUGUUGGCUUUCAACUCUGCUGGUAGUCUGGUUACCCAUGUGUAAACAGUCAUUCGUCCACGCACGUAUAAAUUUCUCUCUAAGUGGAAUCCAUGUUCCAGCCAAAUAUCGAACGACCUUUUUGUUCCUAACCGACCAGGUAGUCACGAUCGAUUGCCAUCUCUGUUCAAAUUCGUCGAUUAUAGAACUUUCAAUCAAGGGGUUCCAUCUAUUUUUCCUGAAUACUUGGCCUUGUUGAUUUCUUUUCCCGUCACACAACUUGUCCACCAUGUUCUCAACGUCGUUUGCAAUAUGCCAAAUGCAUAAUAAAUGCCGCACAUCUACAUUAAACACAACAUUGAACGUAAUUAAGACAUAUUCAAUAAAGAGAACGACAAUAAUUAAUCAACAAAAC